AUACUUACCUGGACAGGGUCUAUGGCUGAUCAAGAAAAGCCAUGGCCUAGGCUAGUGGCCCACAUUGCACUUUGUUGGCGUGCUGGCCUACCAUCUCCUCUUUGAGAAAAAGUGGACGUCAUAAUUUGUGAUAGAAGGGGUACGCGUUUGUGCGGCCCCUGC
Non-coding RNA from Triticum urartu, 162 nucleotides. Lineage: Eukaryota; Viridiplantae; Streptophyta; Magnoliopsida; Poales; Poaceae. The record is from Rfam.